Molecule: ribosomal RNA, 329 nt
Filed under: uncultured bacterium
Lineage: Bacteria
Description: bacterial SSU rRNA
Rfam family: Bacterial small subunit ribosomal RNA
Source: RNAcentral
GAUGAACGCUAGCGGGGGCCUAACACAUGCAAGUCGAACGAACCUUCGGGUGAGUGGCAAACGAGUGCGUAACACGUGCCUAAUCUGCCCUGGAGUGGGGGAUAACAUCGGAAACGGUGCUAAUCCCGCAUACGCUUUGAUUUAUGAAAAAGAUCAGAGGAAAGAUUUAUCGCUCUAGGAGGAGGGUGCGGCCUAUUAGUUAGUUGGUGAGGUAACGGCUCACCAAGACGAUGAUGGGUAGCUGGUCUGAGAGGAUGAUCAGCCACGAUGGAACUGAGACACGGUCCAUACCCCUAGGGGGCAGCAGUGGGAAUCUUGCACAAUGGACG